This 497-nucleotide ribosomal RNA is filed under the name uncultured bacterium. RNAcentral describes it as "partial 16S ribosomal RNA". It matches the Rfam family "Bacterial small subunit ribosomal RNA", at positions 28 to 507 of the family's 1533-position model. The record is from RNAcentral.
GAUGAACGCUGGCGGCGUGCCUAAUACAUGCAAGUCGAGCGAACGGACGAGAAGCUUGCUUUUCUGAUGUUAGCGGCGGACGGGUGAGUAACACGUGGAUAACCUACCUAUAAGACUGGGAUAACUUCGGGAAACCGGAGCUAAUACCGGAUAAUAUUUUGAACCGCAUGGUUCAAAAGUGAAAGACGGUCUUGCUGUCACUUAUAGAUGGAUCCGCGCUGCAUUAGCUAGUUGGUAAGGUAACGGCUUACCAAGGCAACGAUGCAUAGCCGACCUGAGAGGGUGAUCGGCCACACUGGAACUGAGACACGGUCCAGACUCCUACGGGAGGCAGCAGUAGGGAAUCUUCCGCAAUGGGCGAAAGCCUGACGGAGCAACGCCGCGUGAGUGAUGAGGGUCUUCGGAUCGUAAAACUCUGUUAUUAGGGAAGAACAUAUGUGUAAGUAAUUGUGCACAUUUUGACGGUACCUAAUCAGAAAGCCACGGCUAACUACGUG